Molecule: microRNA precursor, 57 nt
Filed under: Strongyloides ratti
Lineage: Eukaryota; Metazoa; Nematoda; Chromadorea; Rhabditida; Strongyloididae
Description: microRNA str-mir-2 precursor
Gene: str-mir-2
Source: miRBase by way of RNAcentral
UUCAAAAGACUGUGUUUCAGGAUAUGUAAAUUAUGUAUCACAGUUAUUUUGAAUCUG